UCCCGAAUAGCUCAGUUGGUUAGAGCGGGUGACUGUUAAUCACUAGGUCGGGAGUUCAAGUCUCUCUUCGGGAG
RNAcentral lists this transfer RNA (74 nucleotides) under Pseudomonadota bacterium. RNAcentral's name for it is "Proteobacteria bacterium (gut metagenome) tRNA-Asn". It matches the Rfam family "tRNA". Rfam says of the family: Transfer RNA (tRNA) molecules are approximately 80 nucleotides in length. Their secondary structure includes four short double-helical elements and three loops (D, anti-codon, and T loops). Lineage: Bacteria; Pseudomonadati; Pseudomonadota. The record is from RNAcentral.